Long non-coding RNA from Symsagittifera roscoffensis, 3104 nucleotides. RefSeq lists it as uncharacterized. The transcript is spliced from 2 exons. Lineage: Eukaryota; Metazoa; Xenacoelomorpha; Acoela; Convolutidae. The record is from RefSeq and is a predicted model, not a curated record.
AGCGACCGAAUAUUUGCGAAUGAUUUGCUUUUUAGUUUUCACAUAUUUGAUAUCCAUUUUUGAACUAAAUUUUUAUGCCAUCUGUAAGGUAUUGGUGUCCUAAAUUCAACUUAAAAGGAUAUUUUACCUGCAAUCAUUUUUCCUAAAUUUAUGGUGGUUUGAAUAAUUUGCGGUACAUCGAGGCUUAAGCGAUGAUUUAUUUCUACUCAGAAAUCAUUUCAAAUUAUUUUAACGCAAAUUACAUCACUUUGAACUUUAUAUAGCGUGUUGGAAAGAUUUUUCAAAAAAAACACUGAAAAAAAUCAUCAAUUUACAAAUCAAACACUUUCAUCAAUUUACAAAUUUCACAGACGUUAAAGGGCAGUCGGAACAUUCAAGUCUUCGCUCAUUCAAUCAGUGUUUAAUCGAAUUGGUUGUCUUCAAUUCAAUUUGAACUGAAUCUUGAGUGCCAAAUUUGUAUUGACCUGAAAAUAACGCGAGCAUUUUUUUAGGCAGACCAUAUUGAUUUUAUGAAGUCUCCCAAAACACCAUUUUUUAAAAAUUUUAAUGCCGCAGGCGAAUGUAGUUUAAAGAACGUGCUAAAAAUGGCCUUUUUGUGCACUUGCGAAGUUGAAUUCUGAAAAUGAUAAAGCUUGAACAAAUCAUUAAAAAACACUUAAGAUUCUUUAAAAGAAAAAACAAGGCAAAAUGACACCACGGUGUUUCGAUCACGAUACCACUUUUUCAAAAGAGUGAUUCAUUUAGUUAAAAUACAGUAACUCACUUCAGUUAGUGGAUGCUAUGAUAUCAGUAGCAAAGCAUCAUGGAAUCUGUGACCUUUUUUGGUGUAAAAAAGAAGAAUUUAAGAAUGUGAGAAAUAUUGAACAUUUGUUGAUCAUAUUUUUUGUGUUUAUUAGAUUGAAUGAAUAUAUGUUCACUAUCAAGUACUGCUAUAUCUUUUCUUGACGGGGACAACCUCCCCAGCGGAUUAAACUUAGUAGUUUUUGUUAAUGUAUACAUACUUUUCUGUGACGCUUUUAUUGAUCUAUAAAUGAUGUCUAAUCACGCCUAAUCAUUUUUCGUGGCGCUUUUAUUGGUCUAUAAAUGCUGUCUAAUCAUGCCUGCCUGUUUCAAAUUUUGACUAUAAAUUGUGUUUCGGCUAGACAUCAAUCAGGCCUUUCGUCCAUCCCCUCCCAUAUCGAAAAAUGCCUUAAUUCAAUUUUUGUCUGAAAUUUGUUUCAUAUUCAUCAUCAUCCAGUUAUUUAUACUCUUCCUUUUACUGAAAAAGUUUUGAACAUACAGUUAAUUGGAAUAAUUUUGUGUGAAGAGGUGACAUUUCAGUUGCCAAUUUCAAUACCAAUCUUUAAAUAAAAUAUGAAAAAUACGGAAAAUUCUUUGAAAUAGGAAAGAUAACCUUUCUUUCUUAUAAUAAACAGAGGCAGCAAUGGAAAUUAAUUGAGCGAUAGCAAAUUUUUACGUUUCAGAGGAUAACAAACAGUAUUAGCAAGCUACAAAACAUUUAGUAUGGAAAUUGCUGAUUUCAAAUUUUGAACGCCUUGGUCGCUAAGUUUUAACACAGAAGCAAAACUUCGCUUCGCAAACACUAACGAGAACAAUAAAGAAAAAUAGAAAUAAGCCCCGUAUUAGUAAAAAAAAAAUCGGCUAGGUCUGAGAUUCGACCCUGCAACCUGGAGAUUAUGAGUCUCACACACUAACCACUCACUCACGGACGCUUAAAAGGCACCAAACACAAGCCACAAAAGCAAGAAUAGAACAGAUGCUAUGCAAUUUCCAAUGCUACAGUGAAAUUUCCUGUAGCAUUGGAAAUUUCAUAGCAUCGAAACAAGUCGAAAUUACAAACCAAAUAAGUGAACACUUUUAUUUGCGAGUUAGGUUAGAGAAAAAAGAAGGUUCCUAUAGCACACUAAUCUGAUCACUAGUGUAACCAACGUUUCAUUUUUUGGAUUUUCAGAACAUGACGUUUCGACCAUGAACCCACGAGGUCAAACCGACGCUUUAUUCAUUUCGGAAGCAAUAACUGAAACUGCGAGAAAAAAAACAGCAAUCGAGAACUCGUGAUUUCCAUCCUUUGAGGUUAAUGGUCUCACACAUUCUGGUGAAGCCCUACGCAAAAUCAAUCAAAAGAUGCAAAUAAUUUGAUUUCACAUCGCAAUAAGUAAAUCGAAAAUAAAUUCCAAUUUUGAUUGAAAACUUGGCAAUAUUUACUCAAGAAAACUAUUGAAACAACAACAAAUAACUAACAAACAACAUUUUUGUUCCGAGGACAUCACUCAAGCAAUAUAUCUUAGCUUAGUUAAACUAAAAUAAUUAACCUCAGGGUUAGGACUACUCAGGCUGGUUAACUAAAAAAAAUAUAGCGUGAAUGAGCUUUUCGCAAUUUGAGGUACCUCACCUCGUAUUGAACCAAAUAAAGUAUCAAAUUAUUAAUAUGCAUUUAAUCUAAUACUCUAUUUGGCCACAUAUGAGUUAAAAUUCGUAAUUCGGCGUCCGAAAAAAAAAUAUUUUAUUUCGAGAAAGAAUAAAUUUUUCCGUUUAUCAGAAUAACUUACUCAAAGGAAAGGGUGAACUUCAUCUUCAACUGAACAGAAAUUUUCAAGCUAUUUUUAGCUAUUAUGUCCGCAAUCUUGCAGAUUGUUACCUAAUGGAACUACCUCCCACGUCUUAAGCACUUCUAAGUUUAUAUACUUUAUCGUAGGAUAUUCAGUGGAAAUUGCACAGCAAAUGGCUACCCUUGUUUUUUAUUGGAAAAUUUUAUUUAUAGAGAUCUUUUAUUUCGUUAUUCCUUUUGUCUUCUUGACACUAGCGUCUACAAAACCGACAACAAAAGAAGGCCAGUAUUGAAUUUAAGGGAACGCGUACUCCCCUCUCGGGAAUUCGAUACCCUCGCCAUUCAAAAGACCAGAUACAGAGGAAGGAAGGGAAGAGGGGGCUACAGGAAAUUAUACAGCAAUUGUUACAUUCCAAUUUCAAUCAAGUUAUCUGGUGCAAAUCGGAGACAAGCAUUCGUGGCUGGCUAAAAUUGCAGCAGUGGAUCCUCGAAAGGCGUGGCAGAACUUGCAGGCGGCUGGGAACCUUUAGGACCUUGAUUUGCAGCUGGUUGACCU